CACGUGGGUAACCUGCCCAAGAGAUCGGGAUAACACCUGGAAACAGAUGCUAAUACCGGAUAACAACAGAUGAUGCCUAUCAACUGUUUAAAAGAUGGUUCUGCUAUCACUCUUGGAUGGACCUGCGGUGCAUUAGCUAGUUGGUAGGGUAACGGCCUACCAAGGCGAUGAUGCAUAGCCGAGUUUAGAGACUGAUCGGCCACAUUGGGACUGAGACACGGCCCAAACUCCUACGGGAGGCAGCAGCC
Molecule: ribosomal RNA, 248 nt
Filed under: uncultured Lactobacillus sp.
Lineage: Bacteria; Bacillati; Bacillota; Bacilli; Lactobacillales; Lactobacillaceae
Description: partial 16S ribosomal RNA
Rfam family: Bacterial small subunit ribosomal RNA
Source: RNAcentral